Vigna radiata var. radiata (mung bean) is the source of this 231-nucleotide long non-coding RNA. RefSeq lists it as uncharacterized. The transcript is spliced from 2 exons. The record is from RefSeq and is a predicted model, not a curated record. NCBI's taxonomy places the organism in Eukaryota, Viridiplantae, Streptophyta, Magnoliopsida, Fabales, Fabaceae.
GUCAUAGAGGACAUUGAGCAUGGAGCUCGAGAUGUCAAUCUAGAGGGAAGGCGCUGGGUGUAAUGGUUGUUCAAAGGAUAGAGCUUAGAAUCUGGGUUUUGGUUUGUUCAAUCUGCUUGAUGGAGGCCUUGAAACAACCAUAUACAAGCAAACGAGCACAACCAUAUACAUGUAUUAUUCAUUCAUAUCUGAUUCAUUAAACAGAUGCCUUCACAUACGAUCAAGUUCAGA